GACGAACGCUGGCGGCGUGCUUAACACAUGCAAGUCGAACGGAAAGGCCCUGCUUUUGUGGGGUGCCCGAGUGGCGAACGGGUGAGUAACACGUGAGUAACCUGCCCUUGACUUUGGGAUAACUUCAGGAAACUGGGGCUAAUACCGGAUAGGAGCUCCUGCUGCAUGGUGGGGGUUGGAAAGUUUCGGCGGUUGGAGAUGGACUCGCGGCUUAUCAGCUUGUUGGUGGGGUAGUGGCUUACCAAGGCUUUGACGGGUAGCCGGCCUGAGAGGGUGACCGGCCACAUUGGGACUGAGAUACGGCCCAGACUCCUACGGGAGGCAGCAGUGGGGAAUAUUGCACAAUGGGCGGAAGCCUGAUGCAGCAACGCCGCGUGCGGGAUGACGGCCUUCGGGUUGUAAACCGCUUUCGCCUGUGACGAAGCGUGAGUGACGGUAAUGGGUAAAGAAGCACCGGCUAACUACGUG
RNAcentral lists this ribosomal RNA (468 nucleotides) under uncultured bacterium. RNAcentral's name for it is "partial 16S ribosomal RNA". It matches the Rfam family "Bacterial small subunit ribosomal RNA", at positions 28 to 507 of the family's 1533-position model. The record is from RNAcentral.